This 76-nucleotide transfer RNA is filed under the name Aquificaceae bacterium. Its description in RNAcentral is "tRNA-Lys". It matches the Rfam family "tRNA". Rfam says of the family: Transfer RNA (tRNA) molecules are approximately 80 nucleotides in length. Their secondary structure includes four short double-helical elements and three loops (D, anti-codon, and T loops). The record is from RNAcentral. Lineage: Bacteria; Pseudomonadati; Aquificota; Aquificia; Aquificales; Aquificaceae.
GAGCCGGUAGCUCAGUAGGUAGAGCAACGGCCUUUUAAGCCGUGGGUCCCGGGUUCGAUCCCCGGCCGGCUCACCA